AGUGAACGCUGGCGGUAGGCCUAACACAUGCAAGUCGAACGGCAGCACAGUAAGAGCUUGCUCUUACGGGUGGCGAGUGGCGGACGGGUGAGGAAUACAUCGGAAUCUACUCUUUCGUGGGGGAUAACGUAGGGAAACUUACGAUAAUACCGCAUACGACCUACGGGGGAAAGCAGGGGAUAUUCGGACCUUGCGCGAAUGAAUGAGCCGAUGUCGGAUUAGCUAGUUGGCGGGGUAAAGGCCCACCAAGGCGACGAUCCGUAGCUGGUCUGAGAGGAUGGUCAGCCACACUGGAACUGAGACACGGUCCAGACUCCUACGGGAGGCAGCAGUGGGGAAUAUUGGACAAUGGGCGCAAGCCUGAUCCAGCCGUACCGCGUGGGUGAAGAAGGCCUUCGGUUUGUAAAGCCCUUUUGUUGGGAAAGAAAAGCAGCAGGUUAAUACCCCGCUGUUCUGACGGUACCCAAAGAAUAAGCACCGGCUAACUUCGUG
RNAcentral lists this ribosomal RNA (492 nucleotides) under uncultured bacterium. RNAcentral describes it as "partial 16S ribosomal RNA". It matches the Rfam family "Bacterial small subunit ribosomal RNA", at positions 29 to 507 of the family's 1533-position model. The record is from RNAcentral.